UACAGAGGGGGCAAGCGUUGUUCGGAAUUACUGGGCGUAAAGGGCGCGUAGGCGGCCUUCUAAGUCGAACGUGAAAUCCCCGGGCUCAACCCGGGAACUGCGUCCGAUACUGGAAGGCUAGAAUCCGGGAGAGGGAUGCGGAAUUCCAGGUGUAGCGGUGAAAUGCGUAGAUAUCUGGAAGAACACCGGUGGCGAAGGCGGCAUCCUGGACCGGUAUUGACGCUGAGGCGCGAAAGCCAGGGGAGCAAACGGG
Molecule: ribosomal RNA, 253 nt
Filed under: uncultured bacterium
Lineage: Bacteria
Description: partial 16S ribosomal RNA
Rfam family: Bacterial small subunit ribosomal RNA
Source: RNAcentral